This 660-nucleotide ribosomal RNA is filed under the name Triticum aestivum (bread wheat). Its description in RNAcentral is "partial small subunit ribosomal RNA". Lineage: Eukaryota; Viridiplantae; Streptophyta; Magnoliopsida; Poales; Poaceae. The record is from RNAcentral.
AUGGCGAUCAUCUCCGAGGACAUCAUGCAAGAGGACGAGACCUCACCGCAGCCUCAGCAGCAGCAGGCGGCGGCCGCCGCCCAGAAGGACAACAGCAGCACGGAGGCGGAGAAGAAGGAGACGGAGGAGGAGAGCAAGGGGAGGCAGCCGAACUCCGGCAACGGCCUCGACCUGGACAAGUACUCGUGGGCGCAGCAGCUGCCGGAGGUGAACCUCACCGUCCCCGUCCCCGAGGGGACCAAGGGCCGGUCCGUCGUCUGCGAGAUCAAGAAGGACCGCCUCAAGGUCGGGCUCAAGGGCCAGCCCCCCAUCAUCGACGGCGAGCUGCACAAGCCCGUCAAGGUCGAGGACUGCUUCUGGAGCAUCGAGGACGGGAGGUCGCUGUCUAUACUGCUGACCAAGCGUAACCGGAGCGAGUGGUGGAAAACCCUGAUCAAGGGCGAUCCGGAGAUCGACACCCAGCGCGCCGAGCCGGAGAGCAGCAAGCUCUCGGACCUGGACCCCGAGACGAGGCAGACCGUGGAGAAGAUGAUGUUCGACCAGCGCCAGAAGCAGAUGGGCCUGCCCACCAGCGACGAGAUGCAGAACCAGGACAUGCUCAAGAAGCUCAAGUCCCAGUACCCGGACAUGGACUUCUCCGGGAUGAAGAUGCCUUCGUAG